RNAcentral lists this long non-coding RNA (911 nucleotides) under Anas platyrhynchos platyrhynchos (common mallard). Its description in RNAcentral is "lncRNA (ENSAPLG00000017614.1)". The record is from RNAcentral. Lineage: Eukaryota; Metazoa; Chordata; Aves; Anseriformes; Anatidae.
AAAUUAUUUUCAUGGUUUUGUUGGAAACCCAAAUUAUUUUCACGGUUUUGUUGAAAUUGCAGGCUUAUCUUUGUGGUUUUGUUUGAAAGCCGGGUUUAUUUUAUGGUUUUGUUCAAGUUCUGGGCUUAUCUUCACGGUUUUGGUUGAAAUCCAGGCUUAUCGUCACGGUUUUGUUCAAAAUUUGGGCUUUUCACCCCAGUUUUGCUCGAAAUCCAGAUUUAUUUUACAGUUUCGUUCAAGUGCUGGGCUUAUCUUCACGCUCUUGUUUGAAAUCUGCAUUUAUUUUUGUGGUUUCAUUCAAAUUCUGGGCUUUCCAUCCCAAUUUUGUUUGAAAUCCAGGUUUAUUUUACAGUUUUCUUCAAGUUCUGGACUUACAUUCAUGGUUUUGGUCAAAAUCCACAUUUAUUAUCAUGGUUUUAUUCAAGUUCUGGGCUUUUCAUCCCAAUUUUGUUCAAAAUCCGGGUUUAUUUUCAUGUUUUUUUUCAAGUUUUUGGCUUGUCUUCAUGGUUUUCUUCAAAAUCUGGGUUUAUCUUCACAGUUUUAUUCAAAAUUUGGGUUUUCCAUCCCAGUUUUGUUCAAAAUCUGUGUUUCUUUUCACAGUUUUAUUGGAAAUCCAGGCUUAUAUUCACGGUUUUCUUCAUAUUUUGGGUUUAUUUUCAUAUUUUUCUUCUAAUUCUGGGCUUCUCCUCCUGGUUGUGCUCAAAUCCUGGUCUUUUCAUCCCAAUUUUAUUCAAAACCCGGGCUUCUCAUCCCAAUUUUCUUCAAAUUCUGGGUUGAUUUUCCUGUUUUUGUUCAAAAUCCGGGUUUUUUCUCCCAAUUUUCCUCAAAAUCUGCACUUUCCUUCCCAAUUUCAAAACCCACAUUUCUCCCUUUCUUCCUCACUCACAUCGAUGGGGGGGAAACCUAUUUAA